GCGGGAGUAGCUCAGUUGGUUAGAGCGCCGCCCUGUCACGGCGGAGGCCGCGGGUUCGAGUCCCGUCUCUCGCGCCA
Molecule: transfer RNA, 77 nt
Filed under: Hyphomicrobium sp.
Lineage: Bacteria; Pseudomonadati; Pseudomonadota; Alphaproteobacteria; Hyphomicrobiales; Hyphomicrobiaceae
Also listed under: 215 other names
Description: tRNA-Asp
Rfam family: tRNA
About the family: Transfer RNA (tRNA) molecules are approximately 80 nucleotides in length. Their secondary structure includes four short double-helical elements and three loops (D, anti-codon, and T loops).
Source: RNAcentral